RNAcentral lists this non-coding RNA (266 nucleotides) under Sarcina ventriculi. RNAcentral's name for it is "Clostridium ventriculi T-box sequence". It matches the Rfam family "T-box leader". Rfam says of the family: Uncharged tRNA acts as the effector for transcription antitermination of genes in the T-box leader family. T-boxes are found upstream of many aminoacyl-tRNA synthetase genes and some amino acid biosynthetic genes usually in Gram-positive bacteria. The record is from RNAcentral. Lineage: Bacteria; Bacillati; Bacillota; Clostridia; Eubacteriales; Clostridiaceae.
GUAAAAAUAUUGAUGGGAAGAGUAAUUUAAGUUAUAAACCUUUUAAGCGAGUGAGGGAUGGUGUAAGCCUCAUAAAGGCAACUUUUAUGAAGAACAUCCUUGAAUUUCUAACCGAAAUCUCUCCAUUAGAUAGUAGGCUUAGACGGUAUCUUACCGUUAAAAAAGAGAUAUAUUGAAUAAUUACAUUUCUUUCAAUAUUGUUUAAGAGAGCUUUUUAGCUAAUUUAGGUGGUACCGCGGAAAACUUUUAGACCUUUCGUCCUAUUA